UACGAAGGGGGCUAGCGUUGUUCGGAAUUACUGGGCGUAAAGCGCACGUAGGCGGAUGUGUCAGUCAGGGGUGAAAUCCCGGAGCUCAACUUCGGAACUGCCUUUGAUACAGCACGUCUUGAGUCCGGAAGAGGUGGGUGGAAUUCCUAGUGUAGAGGUGAAAUUCGUAGAUAUUAGGAAGAACACCGGUGGCGAAGGCGGCCCACUGGUCCGGUACUGACGCUGAGGUGCGAAAGCGUGGGGAGCAAACAGG
Molecule: ribosomal RNA, 253 nt
Filed under: uncultured bacterium
Lineage: Bacteria
Description: partial 16S ribosomal RNA
Rfam family: Bacterial small subunit ribosomal RNA
Source: RNAcentral